This 495-nucleotide ribosomal RNA is filed under the name uncultured bacterium. RNAcentral describes it as "bacterial SSU rRNA". It matches the Rfam family "Bacterial small subunit ribosomal RNA", at positions 28 to 507 of the family's 1533-position model. The record is from RNAcentral.
GACGAACGCUGGCGGCGUGCCUAAUACAUGCAAGUCGAGCGGAACUUGAAAGCUUGCUUUCUAAGUUUAGCGGCGGACGGGUGAGUAACACGUGGGCAACCUGCCUAUAAGACUGGGAUAACUUCGGGAAACCGAGCUAAUACCGGAUAAUAUAAAAGAUCACAUGGUCUUUUAUUGAAAGAUGGCUUCGGCUAUCACUUAUAGAUGGGCCCGCGGCGCAUUAGCUAGUUGGUGAGGUAAUGGCUCACCAAGGCGACGAUGCGUAGCCGACCUGAGGGGGUGAUCGGCCACACUGGGACUGAGACACGGCCCAGACUCCUACGGGAGGCAGCAGUAGGGAAUCUUCCGCAAUGGACGAAAGUCUGACGGAGCAACGCCGCGUGAGCGAUGAAGGCCUUCGGGUCGUAAAGCUCUGUUGUUAGGGAAGAACAAGUAUCGUUCGAAUAGGGCGGUACCUUGACGGUACCUAACCAGAAAGCCACGGCUAACUACGUG